UGAAAUCGCGUGCGCGUGUGCACGGAUAUCCGCGUGCGCAGAUUAUCGGCCACUCAUCCAUCCAUCAUCAUUACUCUCUCUAUUUUCUUGUAUGCGUGUGUGUGUGUGCGUGAGUUUUGCUUUGGGCUUUUCUCUCGCUUGGGUCCUCUUUUCCUUCUCUUCCCUCCCCUCUUUUCCGUUGUCAACCUUGGCGCUGUUGGUUAGAUUUCUUUUUUUUGUGUGCGUUCUUCUUGUAUCAUCAGGUCGUUGCACCACCCCCGCCUCCUCCUCUGGGCCUCUUCCGUCGUUUACCCGCCAUCGUCACAGCAGCUGGCUGCGUACGCGUGCAGACGUCGCACAAGAAAGAGGUCGGAGGACAGACGGCAACGGAAAAAAACACACCAAAUAAGUCGGCGUCUCUUUUUUUUGCCGAAUAUUUAUUUAUAUAUAUAUAUGUAUUUUCGAAACGUUUUUCUCCUGCUGUGCUCUAGUGUACCCUUCUUGUUGCUCGCCUUUUCUUCGCAGCAUUGCAGCUGCUCUUGUGUGUUUGGGUGUGUGUGCUUGCAAGCUUGCUUUUCGACUUUCUGCCUCUCGGCGACCCUCCUGUGUUUCUUUCUUUCUGAUUCGUAUCCGUCUCUGUCUCGCUUGCCCCGUGAGCGCGGUCUGGCUUGUUCUUGGAGCAUCUGAAGAGACACAUACACGCACCGUUGAUCCAAGUAAUUUUUUUCUGGUCUGACUCCCUUCACCAUGUCUGAGGGCGAACUGCGGGUGUACUCAUGGGAGGAGAUCGCGAAGCACACGAAUGAUGACGACUGCUGGGUGGUGAUGUACGACAAAGUGCUGGAUGUGAGCAAGUGGCUGCAGGAGCACCCUGGCGGCCUCGACCCCAUCAAGGACAUGGCUGGCAUGGAUAUCACGAACAGCUUCGAGAGUAUUGGGCACUCGAGCACAGCGUUGGUCAAAAGUAAAAGCUUCAUCAUCGGCUGCGUGGACCCGGAGGAGUCGAAGAUGCGCAAGGAGGCCGCAAAGAAGGCGUCAGCCCCGGCCCCAAAGUGGUCGGAGACGAAACGCGAAGAGCUGCGGCGCUACAAGGGUGGUGAGGGUAUUAUCCCGCUGCCCGUCCUCAUCGGGGCGAUGGUAGCCAUCCUGGCUCUUCUCUUCUAUCUGUUGAAGUGACGCAGCGCCGCAUGCGCAUGUGUGUAAGUGCUUGUGUGGGCGGAGCGUUGAGGUGAGAGCGAGAGGCAUCCGCUUUCACCCCACCCACCCACGCCGCCAUCAUCCAUAACACAAAACUGAAGAAGUUGGAACCAUCAACGUUAUCAGGAGGCAGCAGAAAAUGUAAAGAAACAGGACGAAGGGACGGAGGGGGGGGAGGCUGUCAUUCCUUAUUCACCGGAACGCGGUGGACUUCUCUUCGCUUCACGCACUUCGCUGUAUAUCUGCCUUCUGCCUUUGGGUUUGUUUUCCCUAUCUCGGGCAGGGAUGAAGCGGCAACGGUCUAGAGCGAAUGCCGCGCGCUGGAUGGACGGCCGAAGUGCAACACACCCAAACGUAUUGAAGGGCGCACGUGCAACAGAUAUGGCCGUUGAUGAGUGUGGACAGCGGGAGCGUCAAGAACAACAAAAAAAGGAAUCUCAGAGAAGGAAGCGGAAGCGAGGAGCAUGCGUGUGUGGUCUUUGAGUAGGAGUGGUCUUAGAGGUUCUUUCGUUUUAGUGUGUGUGUGUGCGUACCUCUGGAGCUGAACCCUGCACUGGCAACUCUGGUGAAAAGCACAACAACAAAACGAGUGAACGCGAAGGUACCGCUUCACAGAGGGAGCCAUGGAGUUGAGCAGCUGCCAAUACUCGCAAAGUAGUUCAUCACGGUGCGCUGCUGACUCAUAGAAUGUGGGGAAGGCUGCGGGAGAGAGGCAGAGAUCCAUGUAUGAGCGCCAGCUAUGCGCUGCAGGCUCACUCGCCGGAUACGCAUCGCCAUCUCGAUCCCUCUUUUACUUACUUGGCGGUGGAAGCACACGUUCAAAUGUUUUGCUCGGCUUUAAUGCUGAUGAGUGAUUGCAGAGGACGCACAGGAUCGCGACCCUCUUCCGUGGCUCCUCCCAUGGCUCCUGUUUCGCUUUCUUCUGGACUCCAGGCAUCCAACAUUUUGCGCAGACUCGCACGCAUUGGGACGAGUCGAGUUGCCCAGCUGGCGGGACACUCCGCAUUGUUUUCUUCUCUGAUCGCCUAUUUGCGGUGUUCUCCAUCUAUCAUGUGACUGUUUCCAUCGUGACAUGGAAGGGGGAGAAGGGGGCGGGCUCGAGCUUCCGGGGAGGGAGGGGGGGGAGAGGAGUUGAAUAAGACGGAGCGUUCGCAGAAGCAUUCGGAUGCACGCACGCAACCCACACGCUCUACGAGCAUCGUAGAGGGCUGAGCGAAAGGGAAUAACACGCAGCCGCUCGGGAGGUGGUGCGUGUAUGUGUAUAGACGGCAUGUGCAGUGGGUAGAGAGCACCGGCGAGACCGGGCCCACGCCUCCGCGCUGCCCCACUACUUAAUGCCUGAGGAACAUUAAGCUGUUAUGUCGACGCUUUAUUUCUUCCGUUCUUUUCGCACUCCUGACGUUGGACGUACAGGGGGUGAUGGCGCGCGUAUCGCAAGAGGGAAGGGGUGGGGAGGGGAGUGCCGCAGCGAAAAAGAAAAAGCGGACAACGCGGUUAGAGCGAGCGAGCCGGACGCGGCUGCGUGGUUGUCGCUGGGCACGCACACGUAGGCGUCUCUCCGUCCGUGUCCCAAAGGCAGCUUCUCCGCUGUAGAUACUUCUUUCCGUCUCUCUUGUUUGCCUCCUUUCGCCUUGUAGACGCCAUCAUUCUCUCUCCCGGCUCCUGAUGCUUUUCAAAAUGCUCUGCGCCUCUCGCCCUGUCCCUCGACGCCAUGGCGCCGCUGCGCCGCCCACGCCUGCACCCCCCCCCCCCCCCCGCAGCCACGCCGGGAAAAUACCCUGUGCGCGUUUCGGGCGGGAGGUGCACACGCCGGAUGGAGGUGUCGCCACAACACUUCGGCAGCUCUCAUGCGGGCAUCGACUCUCGCGUUUUGCGAAGUUCUCGCUCUUGACAGGCGGCGCGGUGCAGACAGGCAUCAGGCGAGGAGCGGCGGCGAUGCUCUACAACAAUACUGCGCUGACACGUGCUGCGAAAACACACCGCGAGCCCUUGCGUGCAGUUGCCGCGCUGAGUGUAAAGCGAUGGAGCCGGGGCUCGGGCAACCGCGAAGAGAGCUGGAGCAGCGAAGGCGCGGGCGGUGAGGCGCGGCUGUUGCACACCGCCUCCCCCGCCCAUGGCACCCGACACCGGCCCCCGCAAGAGUAAAGGGUGCGCUUGUGUGUGGCAUACUGCGGCGUGCGGGCGGGGGCAUAAGCGCUGUCGCGACUGGCCUGUCGCGUGCGCCUCCGAUUUCAGCCUGCCUUUUCGCACCACGAAUGGGAACACAAGGACAGAGUGCACAGGCUUUCGAAAUAGGCAGCGCCGGAGGCGCCAUCACCAACUGCAUGGAUCACGGACCCGGCCACCGGCCCCAGACGCCGAGCCGACAUCCCCCGAAACCGCGCCGCCCGACGCAACACGCGACGACAAGGGCUGCUUGGCGGCGAGAGACCACCUCUGCUCGGCUGUGCACGAACACCUUUGCGCACCUUGGGCUCCCACAGCGACGGGCGACAGGCAGUGGCAACAUGGAGUGCAGACGGUGUGCUGCGCACGACUCCGCCAGCGUUGCGGCACCCCCAUCCCCGGCUGUGCUUGUUACGAGGGCUUCCGACCCAUCGUUGCGCCCCGGAAUGCCACGUGAGCCUCCCCGAUUCCUUGAAGCUCGAAGCGCGCCGAGUUUGAAGCCCCGGGCUUGCACGCAAUGACUUGGCCACGCACACCCCACCCGCGCUGCAUGAGCGUCCCCUCUCGGGUGUCCACGGAUGCUGCCCACUGUCUCCCCCAGAACGGCAGACUACGAGCCCUUGCGCUCAGGAACCUGCUCAUUCACGGGCCUCCUCCGCCUGAAACACCCGCACCUGGCCAAGGCAUGCGGGCUCAGAAGUGGGGGGGGUCGAUGCCCCCAUGCAGCCAUAGACCCACGGCGCCGCCUCACCUGUCGUGGCGCAUGCGGGCAGGUCAUCCCAGCGCGCCCCCGUGGCACGGACGGAAACGGAAGAUGCAGGCAGCGAGCCCCCCACCCCAGACAACAACGCCGUUCUGAAGCAAGCCCCCCCCCCCCCUCCACCACCACACGCGCGAAGAUGCGGGCGCUGUGCGCAGACACUCUCGGGCACAACGCGCCUGGCGCAUCGCAUCCGAGCAAGGCAUGCAGCGGCCACAAGGGCACGGGUGAUGAACGUAGAUGGCGCGCAGAGACCCACACGGAUCAUCCCCAGGGCGCAUGUGAGCGAAACAUGCGGCGCCUCCAACACCCGACCCUGUGGACAAACGAGGCGCCAAUGCCGGAAGCAUGGCGAGAGCGCCGUGAAUAGCACCGUCGAAUUCUGCAGACCCGAAUGCCACGAUCCCCCAGGCCAUACUAUGGGAUACUGCGGCGUGAUGCGACUGUGGGGGAUGGGGCGGGCGAGGCAUGGCGCACAGGCGGGGCGCAGGGGCUCGGGGGGCCCUGGCCUGCGGCUGCCCGACUUUCUUCCUGAGCUCACCCGACAUGCGCCUGGACCCCGCCCCCUGCUGCCCUGCACGGAAGGCGCCACCUCUUGCUUCCCUCCGGCGGUGGACCCUGGGCGCGGCCCGCGUGGGUCAAGCCGUGCGGUGCCCCCGGGGCCGCCUGGCGCAGAUGAUGCGGAGUGUCCCGGAGGAAGGGGGCGAGAAGAGCCCAUUAGGCGCAUGGGCGGGCUCGGCGGCAGGACGGUUCGCCCUAGACGGCCGGGAUGGAGCCGUGACGCGGCAGCGGCGGAUGCGCGGCGGCUGUGUGUGCGUGCACUCGCUGGCUUGCUCGUUGCGGAAGCAGCGCGUGAUGGAACGCCGUGUCUCGUGCGGUCCCUACGAGCAGCACCAAAUUGACGUGUAGUCGCUGUGCCCUUUUCUUUGCAGCCUUGUCGUGCCUGUCACCUUUGGCUCGUCCCUCUGCCUGGUACUCCCCCGCUUGGCAACUGCCUUCCCUGUGCCCCGCAGGCACCCCAUACCCAGCGAUCGUCGCCGUUGGAGAACGAAAAAGGCCGAAGACGAGACCCUCCACCGGAGGGAAAGGGGGCCCCCCGCGCAGCCACGCUAAGAGAAACGGAAAGUGCGCGGGCGCGGCAUGAAGCUCAGCGUCACAUCCGAGGAGAGAAAGCCAGCGCAAGCCGAAAAAGGGCACCGAAAAGAUGCGGAAGAGGUGCGAAGUGCAUUGUCACAAGGCGUAAACGACGUUCCUACGACUGGCCUGUACGUGCUCGAGCCGUGGGAGGGUGCUCCCUGUUCGUUGUCUGUUUUACCAGUCCCCCUCUCCCGUCCCUUUAGCGUUGCAGUGAAGGAGGGAGGGACUACACGGUAUGUUGUGGACGGCACUCACCCAAUCACCAC
Molecule: unclassified non-coding RNA, 5505 nt
Filed under: Leishmania donovani
Lineage: Eukaryota; Euglenozoa; Kinetoplastea; Trypanosomatida; Trypanosomatidae
Description: gene:LdHU3.11.0780(CDS-product:cytochrome_b5_puta tive)
Source: RNAcentral